UACGAAGGGGGCGAGCGUUGUUCGGAAUUACUGGGCGUAAAGCGUGUGUAGGCGGCUUCGUAAGUCGGAUGUGAAAGCCCCGGGCUCAACCCGGGAAGUGCACUCGAUACUGCGAAGCUUGAGUACUGGAGAGGUUGGUGGAAUUCUCGGUGUAGAGGUGAAAUUCGUAGAUAUCGAGAGGAACACCGGUGGCGAAGGCGGCCAACUGGACAGAUACUGACGCUGAGACACGAAAGCGUGGGGAGCAAACAGG
This 253-nucleotide ribosomal RNA is filed under the name uncultured bacterium. Its description in RNAcentral is "partial 16S ribosomal RNA". It matches the Rfam family "Bacterial small subunit ribosomal RNA", at positions 524 to 776 of the family's 1533-position model. The record is from RNAcentral.